This 352-nucleotide unclassified non-coding RNA is filed under the name soil metagenome. RNAcentral's name for it is "partial contains 5.8S ribosomal RNA, internal transcribed spacer 2, and large subunit ribosomal RNA". The stretch from base 1 to 120 matches the Rfam family "5.8S ribosomal RNA", at positions 35 to 154 of the family's 154-position model. The record is from RNAcentral.
GAUGAAGAACGCAGCGAAAUGCGAUAAGUAAUGUGAAUUGCAGAAUUCAGUGAAUCAUCGAAUCUUCGAACGCACAUUGCGCCCGCCAGUAUUCUGGCGGGCAUGCCUGUUCGAGCGUCAUUUCAACCCUCAGGCCCCCAGUGCCUGGUGUUGGGGAUCGGCCCAGCCUUCCUGUAAGGCCGCCGGCCCCGAAAUCUAGUGGCGGUCUCGCUGUAGUCCUCCUCUGCGUAGUAGCACAACCUCGCAGUUGGAACGCGGCGGUGGCCAUGCCGUUAAACACCCCACUUCUGAAAGUUGACCUCGGAUCAGGUAGGAAUACCCGCUGAACUUAAGCAUAUCAAUAAGCGGAGGA